CUGUGUCUUGCCUCAACAGUGUUUGAACGGAACAG
Non-coding RNA from Oryctolagus cuniculus (rabbit), 35 nucleotides. The record is from Rfam. Lineage: Eukaryota; Metazoa; Chordata; Mammalia; Lagomorpha; Leporidae.